This 465-nucleotide ribosomal RNA is filed under the name Vreelandella stevensii. Its description in RNAcentral is "partial 16S ribosomal RNA". It matches the Rfam family "Bacterial small subunit ribosomal RNA", at positions 338 to 795 of the family's 1533-position model. The record is from RNAcentral. Lineage: Bacteria; Pseudomonadati; Pseudomonadota; Gammaproteobacteria; Oceanospirillales; Halomonadaceae.
CCUACGGGUGGCAGCAGUGGGGAAUAUUGGACAAUGGGCGAAAGCCUGAUCCAGCCAUGCCGCGUGUGUGAAGAAGGCCUUCGGGUUGUAAAGCACUUUCAGUGGGGAAGAAAGCCUUGGGGCUAAUACCCUCGAGGAAGGACAUCACCCACAGAAGAAGCACCGGCUAACUCCGUGCCAGCAGCCGCGGUAAUACGGAGGGUGCGAGCGUUAAUCGGAAUUACUGGGCGUAAAGCGCGCGUAGGCGGUCUGAUAAGCCGGUUGUGAAAGCCCCGGGCUCAACCUGGGAACGGCAUCCGGAACUGUCAGGCUAGAGUGCAGGAGAGGAAGGUAGAAUUCCCGGUGUAGCGGUGAAAUGCGUAGAGAUCGGGAGGAAUACCAGUGGCGAAGGCGGUCUUCUGGACUGACACUGACGCUGAGGUGCGAAAGCGUGGGUAGCAAACAGGACUAGAUACCCGGGUAGUC